Molecule: small nuclear RNA, 101 nt
Organism: Erinaceus europaeus (western European hedgehog)
Lineage: Eukaryota; Metazoa; Chordata; Mammalia; Eulipotyphla; Erinaceidae
Source: Ensembl
CCUCCAUGAGGGAAGCUUCAUGAACAGUGGAGGUAUACAGAGAUCAGCAUAUCCCUUGUGCAAAGAUGACACACAAAAUUCAUGAGACAUUUCUUAUUUUG